This 1692-nucleotide ribosomal RNA is filed under the name Shigella flexneri. RNAcentral's name for it is "partial 23S ribosomal RNA". It matches the Rfam family "Bacterial large subunit ribosomal RNA", at positions 361 to 2041 of the family's 2925-position model. Lineage: Bacteria; Pseudomonadati; Pseudomonadota; Gammaproteobacteria; Enterobacterales; Enterobacteriaceae. The record is from RNAcentral.
AGGGUGACAGCCCCGUACACAAAAAUGCACAUACUGUGAGCUCGAUGAGUAGGGCGGGACACGUGGUAUCCUGUCUGAAUAUGGGGGGACCAUCCUCCAAGGCUAAAUACUCCUGACUGACCGAUAGUGAACCAGUACCGUGAGGGAAAGGCGAAAAGAACCCCGGCGAGGGGAGUGAAAAAGAACCUGAAACCGUGUACGUACAAGCAGUGGGAGCACGCUUAGGCGUGUGACUGCGUACCUUUUGUAUAAUGGGUCAGCGACUUAUAUUCUGUAGCAAGGUUAACCGAAUAGGGGAGCCGAAGGGAAACCGAGUCUUAACUGGGCGUUAAGUUGCAGGGUAUAGACCCGAAACCCGGUGAUCUAGCCAUGGGCAGGUUGAAGGUUGGGUAACACUAACUGGAGGACCGAACCGACUAAUGUUGAAAAAUUAGCGGAUGACUUGUGGCUGGGGGUGAAAGGCCAAUCAAACCGGGAGAUAGCUGGUUCUCCCCGAAAGCUAUUUAGGUAGCGCCUCGUGAAUUCAUCUCCGGGGGUAGAGCACUGUUUCGGCAAGGGGGUCAUCCCGACUUACCAACCCGAUGCAAACUGCGAAUACCGGAGAAUGUUAUCACGGGAGACACACGGCGGGUGCUAACGUCCGUCGUGAAGAGGGAAACAACCCAGACCGCCAGCUAAGGUCCCAAAGUCAUGGUUAAGUGGGAAACGAUGUGGGAAGGCCCAGACAGCCAGGAUGUUGGCUUAGAAGCAGCCAUCAUUUAAAGAAAGCGUAAUAGCUCACUGGUCGAGUCGGCCUGCGCGGAAGAUGUAACGGGGCUAAACCAUGCACCGAAGCUGCGGCAGCGACGCUUAUGCGUUGUUGGGUAGGGGAGCGUUCUGUAAGCCUGUGAAGGUGUGCUGUGAGGUAUGCUGGAGGUAUCAGAAGUGCGAAUGCUGACAUAAGUAACGAUAAAGCGGGUGAAAAGCCCGCUCGCCGGAAGACCAAGGGUUCCUGUCCAACGUUAAUCGGGGCAGGGUGAGUCGACCCCUAAGGCGAGGCCGAAAGGCGUAGUCGAUGGGAAACAGGUUAAUAUUCCUGUACUUGGUGUUACUGCGAAGGGGGGACGGAGAAGGCUAUGUUGGCCGGGCGACGGUUGUCCCGGUUUAAGCGUGUAGGCUGGUUUUCCAGGCAAAUCCGGAAAAUCAAGGCCGAGGCGUGAUGACGAGGCACUACGGUGCUGAAGCAACAAAUGCCCUGCUUCCAGGAAAAGCCUCUAAGCAUCAGGUAACAUCAAAUCGUACCCCAAACCGACACAGGUGGUCAGGUAGAGAAUACCAAGGCGCUUGAGAGAACUCGGGUGAAGGAACUAGGCAAAAUGGUGCCGUAACUUCGGGAGAAGGCACGCUGAUACGUAGGUGAAGCGACUUGCUCGUGGAGCUGAAAUCAGUCGAAGAUACCAGCUGGCUGCAACUGUUUAUUAAAAACACAGCACUGUGCAAACACGAAAGUGGACGUAUACGGUGUGACGCCUGCCCGGUGCCGGAAGGUUAAUUGAUGGGGUUAGCGCAAGCGAAGCUCUUGAUCGAAGCCCCGGUAAACGGCGGCCGUAACUAUAACGGUCCUAAGGUAGCGAAAUUCCUUGUCGGGUAAGUUCCGACCUGCACGAAUGGCGUAAUGAUGGCCAGGCUGUCUCCACCCGAGACUCAGUGAAA